UACGUAGGGGGCAAGCGUUGUCCGGAAUCAUUGGGCGUAAAGCGCGCGUAGGCGGCCCUGUAAGUCCGUUGUGAAAGUCAAAGGCUCAACCUUUGAAAGCCGAUGGAUACUGCAGGGCUAGAGUCCGGAAGAGGCGAGUGGAAUUCCUGGUGUAGCGGUGGAAUGCGCAGAUAUCAGGAGGAACCCCACUAGCGAAGGCAGCUCGCUGGGACGGUACUGACGCUAAGGCGCGAAAGCGUGGGGAGCGAACAGG
This 253-nucleotide ribosomal RNA is filed under the name uncultured bacterium. RNAcentral describes it as "partial 16S ribosomal RNA". It matches the Rfam family "Bacterial small subunit ribosomal RNA", at positions 524 to 776 of the family's 1533-position model. The record is from RNAcentral.